This 29-nucleotide non-coding RNA is filed under the name Rattus norvegicus (Norway rat). The record is from RNAcentral. Lineage: Eukaryota; Metazoa; Chordata; Mammalia; Rodentia; Muridae.
UCCUCUUCUUGUGAUGAUGAUGAUGUCGU